Molecule: ribosomal RNA, 393 nt
Filed under: uncultured bacterium
Lineage: Bacteria
Description: bacterial SSU rRNA
Rfam family: Bacterial small subunit ribosomal RNA
Source: RNAcentral
UAUUGCACAAUGGGGGAAACCCUGAUGCAGCGACGCCGCGUGAAGGAAGAAGUAUCUCGGUAUGUAAACUUCUAUCAGCAGGGAAGACAAUGACGGUACCUGACUAAGAGGCCCCGGCUAACUACGUGCCAGCAGCCGCGGUAAUACGAAGGGGGCAAGCGUUAUCCGGAGUUACUGGGUGUACAGGGAGCGUAGAGGGAUCUGCAAGUCUGGAGUGAAAGCCCGGGGCUCAACCCCGGUACUGCUUUGGAAACUGUAGGUCUAGAGUGCCGGAGAGGUAAGCGGAAUUCCUAGUGUAGCGGUGAAAUUCGUAGAUAUUAGGAGGAACACCAGUGGCGAAGGCGGCUUACUGGACGGUAACUGACGUUGAGGCUCGAAAGCGUGGGGAGCAAA